CGUCCGUAAUCACUUGUGUUGUUCAAUCAUCAGAAAACAUCUCACAAUUUGACUGUUAACUACUAAAUUUGUUGUUUCAUCACUCAUUGGUCAUACCAGUCUCUUUAUUUUCUUUUUCUUUGAAGCUAAAUUGUUGUCCUGCAACCCAGAGGGUUUAUUUGUUAGUAAUGGAUAAACUUCAUCAUUUAACAACAGAAGUAUGUUAAUUUUUGCUGCUUUAACCUUGCUGGAAAAUCUUCACAUGUUCAUGAGUGUAAGCUGUUUUUUCAUUGCAUGUGUGUGCAUUUGUAGGCAGGUUAAUUUUAACUUUUUCUCAAACUAGGCAUUACCUUAACAGGAGCCUUUCUCUCACAUUUCUCUGCUCGUGUGUGUUUUUGUUUCACCUUUUGUUGUGAUGCUCCGGACGCCUUCCCAACCUCCACAAGUCCGUUGGCCCCAAAAUUCAACCCAAUUUCAUGUGCUCUUAAAACCUUCAUUUCUCCUCUAAUUCUCUCCUCGCUGCUGUCUGUUUCACAGCUGCUGAUUCUUGCUGGGUGUGGUUCCCAUUACUAUAAUUUUGCUUCGGCCGCUGUGCUUGUGGGGGCAGUUGGUCCAGGUCCGUAGCUUCCUGUAUUAACACACUAAGAGAUUUAUUUAAUAUCAUUUUCAUCAUUGUUAAACAGAUAAGCAGGCAACACGCCCACCUUGACAGCGAAAACUGCACGCCCGUCUCCCAACAUAUUCCUCUCUCUGCUUCUCAAUAAUUCUCCACUACACACCUCUUACUAUCUCUCUCUCCUUUUUUUAUUAUUUUUUUUUAUUACACCACAGAGUAAUACACCCAAUUAUGCCCGUCUAUCUCUAUGUGGCUCCAAAUUCCCUCUUUAUUCGUAAUUUCACGUUAUCAGGGGACAGGCACACAACAAUUUUAACCACUGAAACGUCACUAUAACGAGGACUCUAACCUCUUAUUUUAAGAAAUGAGGACUCUAACCUCGGUUUUCUUUUUUGACUACUAUAGAACUCAACCUUAGAUGUCAAAGCAUUUUCUUGUUCUAUUCCAGAAUAAAUGUG
This is a long non-coding RNA of Oreochromis aureus, 1053 nucleotides long. The record is from Ensembl. Lineage: Eukaryota; Metazoa; Chordata; Actinopteri; Cichliformes; Cichlidae.